CAUCCGGAAGCACGCCGGAAGCAGGAAGCUCCAGCCCCAUGAUGCAGAGCCCGGUCCCGGCACCGAGCCCAGCCGGGCACAGCAGUCACUGCCAUUGUCACAGCACCACGGCAGCUACAGGCAAGGUCCAACAAGCUGGGGAACUCCCUACAACCCUGUCAACACCAGCUCCAGCCCCUGGGAUGUUCCGAGCAGGAAACGCCCCCAGCUGAGACCCAGUGACCCUCUGGGUGGGGGUAAACAGAAGGCUCUAGACUGUGGAGAUGUAGAAGGGGCUGAGCUGACUUCAUCAUCAGAGACCUGGCAACAGGGUGGGGGAAUGAUUCCAGCAUUCCCAGCGGUGUGAGGAAAUGGGACAGCACCUGAAAAAUACACAGCCUUUAAUUGGCAAAUCCUCUCAGAACUACGCUAGCUAGCUGCUAAACAUGGGCUGCUGUUGCAAAUAUGCUGCGAUUUAUAACUACUACUGAAUUAACCCCGUGUGAUAUGAAGUAGAUUGUGCAACUGCUUGGUACUCCAGUGCAAUACGUAAUGUUCAAAUCGAGCAGGAAAGCUUAUGCAGAAGAUCAGGAACUAAAGAAAUCAAGAGCUUUGAACCCAUGUUUCGUUCCAUAUUUCAAAACCUCUAAUAAGCUGAUAGCAUAUGAUGAAGAUAAAAAUACUGAAGAGGUAUCACACAAGAAUUACAAAAGUGUACAGUUGUUUGUUAAAAAUGCCUUAGAGUUCAUAGUGCAAUAUUUGUCACUGCUGUUUGCAUUUAUUAAAAUCAGACUCCUUAAGCCUAUGGUAUCUGAUUUUACUAAGGUUAUUAAGAGAGUAUUACAUUUCUCUCUCAGUCAUGGGCUGCUGUGUAUCAAAGAGAUGGUAGGAUAUAUAUAUUAAUAAUUUGGCUCUUAGUAUUCCUAAUAGCCCUGCUUGCAUUAUUACUAGAUCAAACCUGAAGAUUCAAAGAAUAUAAUCAUCUUAACAUUCUAGGUCCAUUGACACAUACACAGAAUAUUAAUUUACUAAAUUCAUAGGCAAAUUUCAACUACAAAGCCUCUAACCAAGAAUUUACCACCUAUCAUAAUUUUAAAACCUAAAGUCACCUGUUAGUGCCAAUAACAAAAUUUCUAACUCCUAAUAAAAGGAAAAAAGUAGACUGCUUGCCCUGUUAUUCAUGUUAACAAAAUUUUCUUGCACUAGAAUACUGUUCAAAACCAAUGUUUCGUUCCUUUUCUUAUUUACUCUACAAAGAAAAAAGGGGGGAAAAGGUUGGGGUGAAUGCAUUCCCCCUUUUGAGUCUUAAGUAAUGUUAUGUUCUCAUGUUUCACAAUGAAUCAUGUAACAGUACAACGAUCCUAAACCCAAGAUAAAAGCAUUACAAUGGACACUGGGAGCCACAGACACCAGCCCUUUGUCAGACACCAUGAGCCAUUUAACCAAAACAACUGAUAACUGCCUCAUAGAAAUCUGGAACUUUUGAAAUGACAGUUCAUAUAAAGACUGUUUGUUUACAAAUUGCCUUAUCUUUUAAGUUUGUUUUUUCUUACAGCCCUAAAGUUGAAUGUUUCAGAGUUCUCUAAUCUCAGUUCUGAGUAAAGAUAUAACUUACAGCUUUGCUUACAAACUAUUUUUCAUGUUUACACACUGUUUUUCUGUUUAAAAAUUGUUUUUUUCUAGCAGGUAGACUUUCUUUAACAGUUUUAGGAGUUAAGUAGCUUGUUGUUGUUAAAAUAAGCUAAUUUGUAAACUAACCAUUAAGAAAUUCUUACCUGCAGGCUCUAAACCAAAAUGCUGCAGCUUCACUAAUAGAUAAUUCAUGCAAAUUAAACCAUACUAUUUUCUGUCAUCCUGUUUGCUAGGGACUCCUACAAAUAGAUGACAGAGAACAAGUCACAAUUUUUAGUAAAGAAAAAUUUUAGGGUGAGAUGUUGCAUUGCAAGCUGAACAUGAGCCCAGUUAUAAAUAACAAAUGCAGCCCACCUCCACAAACCAGCCUUUGGGCUGACUGACAGAAGCUUUGACAAAUAACAACUCUCCUAAAACACAAGCAUUUACUGUUAAGAGUCUGUGGGGUGUAGAGUUUAGACCAAUGUCUGUGUAGCACCGGGAGUUUUAAAUUUGCCAUGAAAUGGUGUUGGAUAAACAAUAACCCAGGCUGUUUGCUGGUGACCAAGGGGAGUUUUGUCAUGUGUUAUGUCUCAGACACAUGUACAUCACACGUACAUCAUGUUAUUAAUGUAAUGGUUGCCUGCUGUGAGAGCUUUGAGCUGAAUUAGAGUAAGAUGGUCACCUGGAGUAAGACUAAAAUCAUUAAUCAUUGCUCUCCUCUCUUCCUUUGGAUGAAAGUGGCAGGCUGCAGCAUUUACAGCACCAGAGCCUCAGCAGGCAGGACCGCUCUCUGUGAGCCUGCAAGGGGAAGGUUGAUGGCUGUGCCCUGGAAGGGCACACCAUGGCCUCCAGGCACUCCUAACUCAGGCCCUGGACCCUUUCUUUGUGUGGCUUCAAUAAACCCCAUGGAAAUUCCACCCAGGAGACCCUUCCUGCGUUUCAUUCACCGGGAGCUAUCCAUGGCUAUGUGCAUGGGCUGAGUGGUUGUUUGCCUGCCUGCCUGAACGCCUUCGACAGAGGAUGCUUUCAGGCAGGCAGUGGUGACUCACCACCCUGCCAUGCUCCUGCAGUGUGAUACAGCACAGCACCAACAGCACCCUCCUCUCCCUGACACUGAUCUGUUCUCUGCCAUUUUCAGUGGCCUGAUUGAAGCACAUGGUGAGAAACGCCAUUCACUUGUUUUAAAAUUGUAAAAGUUUAAUUGUAAUCAAAUGGUUGUAAAAAUAGUAAUAAAAAUUAGAGUAAUAAGAAUUUGGACAAUCAGAGUUAGGACAAUAAAGGACAAUAAAAAACCAAAGAAUUA
Long non-coding RNA from Serinus canaria (Common canary), 2896 nucleotides. RefSeq lists it as uncharacterized. The record is from RefSeq and is a predicted model, not a curated record. The transcript has 2 exons. Lineage: Eukaryota; Metazoa; Chordata; Aves; Passeriformes; Fringillidae.